RNAcentral lists this ribosomal RNA (471 nucleotides) under uncultured bacterium. RNAcentral describes it as "partial 16S ribosomal RNA". It matches the Rfam family "Bacterial small subunit ribosomal RNA", at positions 28 to 506 of the family's 1533-position model. The record is from RNAcentral.
GACGAACGCUGGCGGCGUGCUUAACACAUGCAAGUCGAACGAUGAACCCGGAGCUUGCUCUGGGGGAUUAGUGGCGAACGGGUGAGUAACACGUGAGUAACCUGCCCUGGACUCUGGGAUAAGCGUUGGAAACGACGUCUAAUACCGGAUAGGACCUUGGAUCGCAUGAUCUGGGGUGGAAAGUUUUUUCGGUCUGGGAUGGACUCGCGGCCUAUCAGCUUGUUGGUGAGGUAAUGGCUCACCAAGGCGUCGACGGGUAGCCGGCCUGAGAGGGUGACCGGCCACACUGGGACUGAGACACGGCCCAGACUCCUACGGGAGGCAGCAGUGGGGAAUAUUGCACAAUGGGCGAAAGCCUGAUGCAGCAACGCCGCGUGCGGGAUGACGGCCUUCGGGUUGUAAACCGCUUUUAGUAGGGAAGAAGGGCUUCGGCUUGACGGUACCUGCAGAAAAAGGACCGGCGAACUACGU